RNAcentral lists this unclassified non-coding RNA (391 nucleotides) under soil metagenome. Its description in RNAcentral is "partial contains 5.8S ribosomal RNA, internal transcribed spacer 2, and large subunit ribosomal RNA". The stretch from base 1 to 122 matches the Rfam family "5.8S ribosomal RNA", at positions 35 to 154 of the family's 154-position model. The record is from RNAcentral.
GAUGAAGAACGCAGCGAAAUGCGAUACUUGGUGUGAAUUGCAGAAUCCCGUGAACCAUCGAGUCUUUGAACGCAAGUUGCGCCCGAAGCCAUUAGGCCGAGGGCACGCCUGCCUGGGCGUCACACGUCGUUGCCCCCCCAUCUACUCCUUCGGGAUUGCGGGGGGCGGAUGAUGGCCUCCCGUGCGCCUCGCCGCGCGGUUGGCAUAAAUGCCAAGUCCUCGGCGACGCACGCCACGACAAUCGGUGGUUGCGAAACCUCGGUUGCCCGUCGUGUGCGGUCGUCGCGCAUCGAGGGCUCGAAAAAAUUGCCGGGUUCCGGCUCGGCUUUCAACGCGACCCCAGGUCAGGCGGGAUUACCCGCUGAAUUUAAGCAUAUCAAUAAGCGGAGGA